Molecule: transfer RNA, 77 nt
Filed under: Candidatus Ryanbacteria bacterium RIFCSPLOWO2_02_FULL_45_11c
Lineage: Bacteria; Candidatus Ryaniibacteriota
Description: tRNA-Asp
Rfam family: tRNA
About the family: Transfer RNA (tRNA) molecules are approximately 80 nucleotides in length. Their secondary structure includes four short double-helical elements and three loops (D, anti-codon, and T loops).
Source: RNAcentral
GCGGGCGUAGCUCAGUUGGUUAGAGUGUCUCCCUGUCACGGAGAAGGUCGCCGGUUCGAGUCCGGUCGCCCGCGCUA